This 600-nucleotide small RNA is filed under the name Pan troglodytes (chimpanzee). Its description in RNAcentral is "processed transcript". The record is from RNAcentral. Lineage: Eukaryota; Metazoa; Chordata; Mammalia; Primates; Hominidae.
GCUAAAUUCACAGAUGGACUUAAUGAGGGCUUAGGAAGAGCAUCUCCAAGGGCUGCUCUGAAAGAGGGAGUUUAGGGUGGAGGAGAAAUCGUGUUGAGACUGGCACAUCCGGUAUAUUCCUGUGUUCAUCACACAAACAACUGGCAAACAGAAUGUUCAUCAUAUCCCCAUCUUCAAGUCUCUGAGGUUUUCCAUACCAGGAGGAAUGAGCUUGGUCUGACAGUUUCUGCAAGAACGCUGGAAGUAUGAAUGUAUGAAUCGCUGCUGCAAUGCCACCACCUGUACCCUGAAGCCGGACGCUGUGUGCGCACAUGGGCUGUGCUGUGAAGACUGCCAGCUGAAGCCUGCAGGAACAGCAUGCAGGGACUCCAGCAACUCCUGUGACCUCCCAGAGUUCUGCACAGGGGCCAGCCCUCACUGCCCAGCCAACGUGUACCUGCACGAUGGGCACUCAUGUCAGGAUGUGGACGGCUACUGCUACAAUGGCAUCUGCCAGACUCACGAGCAGCAGUGUGUCACGCUCUGGGGACCAGGUGCUAAACCUGCCCCUGGGAUCUGCUUUGAGAGAGUCAAUUCUGCAGGUGAUCCUUAUGGCAACUG